Molecule: long non-coding RNA, 454 nt
Organism: Camellia sinensis
Lineage: Eukaryota; Viridiplantae; Streptophyta; Magnoliopsida; Ericales; Theaceae
Source: RefSeq, a predicted model, not a curated record
UAUGUGUUUAUUAACUACCAAAGCAAGCAAAAUAUAUUAGAGAAUUUAAAAUAUUAUAAGCUUUAAUGGCAAUUUCUUACUCUGCAAAGUCUGUUCUAGCUACUUUUUUCAUCUUCGCCAUUGUUCUAUCUCCAUACUUACCAUGUGAUGCAGCCAAAGAGCCAAUUAACAGACCUUAUUGUCCAGCUUGCAACUGUUGCAAGGUUGAGCCACCACCCCCAUGUUGCUAUUGUGCUUGCUCUGUCAUCACCGAUCACCCUGAAAAUGCGACGCCGUAAUCAAAUAUAUACAUAUAGGAAGUUAUUUAUAUGUGUGCCAUGCAAUAAAGCAUUUUAAACAUGUGCCAGUGUUUUGAACUAUACACUACUUGUAAUUUUUUCAUAAGAGAUGCAAGUUAAAAGUCAUAUGAUGUUUUAAUUUAUUGAUAUAGUGUGUAUUUGGUUUUGCUUAUUUA